Molecule: long non-coding RNA, 1945 nt
Filed under: Homo sapiens (human)
Lineage: Eukaryota; Metazoa; Chordata; Mammalia; Primates; Hominidae
Description: HSALNT0323927
Source: RNAcentral
UUUAGAAAAAUACUUAUACAUUAUGAUAUUUACACCAGAAGUGGUGUGAAUCAUAGCCAGUUGCAUUCUGUAAACACCUUGGUUACAAAAAUGAUCAAUGGAGUUCUUUAAUAGAAUGCAAGUCUGCCAUUGUUUAGAAAACACCUGAAUCGUUUUCAGGAUUUGAAGUAUGUCAGCAUUGUCUGAACACAGUGGUCAAAUGCUAUCAAGUGAAUGAGAAAUCAUCACUCAGUUCAACAUUUAUUGAACACCACAAUGCUAGAAUCUAGGAAUUCAACUGUGAAUAAGGAAGUUAUGGUGUACUCUCUGUAAACUUCUCAUAAAUAAUGUCUAAAAUACAACAACAUUCCUAUUGAUGUAUAUUGCUUGCUUCCAAAGACUAUGACGCCUGUAUCCUCACACGUACAUCACCUUUAUUUUUCCUAUUCAGGUAGGCUUGGUGAUGAAGAUGGAGUAACGAAACUGACAGGUAAAUGAUAUUGCACCAGAUUAUAACUGAUAUCAGGAUGAUUUCUGCUUUUCAGGAGUGGCCACAGGUACCAAAGGAUGGCACAUCAUACCAGGAAUUUGUUGAUCUAGUGCAGUGGAACUGCAAGGCAGAGUUCAGCGGUAUCGGGAUCAAAGGAUUAGGAAGCCGCAGCUUUAAGGGAGGCAAGCAGCAUGAGAAGACUUUGUGGAGGCAGCUCUGAGCAUUUUAUCAGGCUGAACUAUGAAAAGCAACUAGAGGACAUUCUCCCCCUUGAAGAUAAUCACUUUUAUUGUUGCCGGGUCAAAGAUUCAGAUUCCACGCAGCAACCUCUGACUAAAGAACAGCAAGUCCUUUCAGGUCAGAAAGUCCAAUAUGCAGCCCCCUCAGAAGCAUAGCAUAAUAGUCCUAAAAUAACAAGCAUACAUGUAGCUUUCUUAAUUUGCCCUGCUGGGUUCCUGUAAUAAGUACUUAACAACUGUAGGCUCUGAGCAGCUCAGCAGACAUCAACAAGACCAUUUGCCAGAUGAUUUAGCAAACAAAUUUCCGAGCAUCUCAUGCUUAUGUUGAGUGCGUGACAUUAGCAAACAUGCAGGGACUUAGAGAUAAUAAUAGUAGAUAGGAAUUUUACAAAUUAAAAAGAGAGAGAAAGAAAGAACGGGAAUUUUGAAGUCUAGAGAAUUUAGGCUGAUAUGCCAAAUUCUCUGGCUAGAAUGAAGUCCCCCAGAUGAAUACUCAGUAACUUCUGCUAAUUUUUUACUCCUUGAGCAAAUAAUCUGAAAUUGAGUUAUUGGGAAGGGACAAAAACUCUGGAAUGACUUCCAGGGGAGGAAGAAAAGAAUAGAAACCACCUUAUUUUUUAGCACAAGUAACUGACAUGAAGCAAGCACAAAACACGAAAGGUUCUCAGUAAAUAUUUAUUGAAUGAAUGACUCCAUGUCUAUGACACGCAUGAGGAAUUGACAUCUCCAUAAAGAAAGCUAGCAGAUUCUCAACAAAUCAUAGGGGUUAGGUAAGCGGGUAGGGCGAAGGCAUUCAUCAAGGAAUCCCUCUCCAGUGUCAGGAAUCCAAGGCUCAGAGAGGGAGACAUUCUCGUGAAUCCAUCAGCAGCCCCCUGGCCCAUAACAGACUCCUUGAGAUGCUUCUAAGUGAGAGGGAAUCCAGGUGGCAAUGGCACUUACCAUUUUAAGAGCUGGAGCAAUCCUGAGGCUCUGUGGGGAAAGCAAUCAUCCCCAAAACAGGAAAACAAAUCUGACAAUAGAGCAGGGCUGGUCCUCAAUAGCCUGGGCAUGAGGAGCCAGGAAACCUGCUCUGAGGAGGGAGGUAAUUAUCCCAUCACUUCAGGUCACAGGGAAAUUCUAUUCUGUUUUCCGAGGCAACAUUUUUAACACUUACACAGACAUUUUAAAUGUGAACAACUCAAGCAAUCAUCCUAUUAUAUCUGUUAGUUUAGCUGAUUUCUUUCUUUUUUUUUUUUAA